RNAcentral lists this small RNA (587 nucleotides) under Arabidopsis thaliana (thale cress). RNAcentral describes it as "ATSL229610". The record is from RNAcentral. Lineage: Eukaryota; Viridiplantae; Streptophyta; Magnoliopsida; Brassicales; Brassicaceae.
UCUCCACGAAGUACUUUCUCAAAAUGCUUAAAGUUAAUAAUCAACCUGGUAUUGGUAAUGCAGACAGAGCACACGGUAUUUAGAUUGCUAUUCUACUAUAUAAAGAGAGCUCAUCCUUCUCAUAUAUCUCAACAUAUACUUACUCAAACAUAUUCUAUAAAAAUUUCCCAAAUUAAAUAUGCUAAUUUACGCAUUGGAUUUUUUCAUCCGAUUUCCUCGAAAGGAUGACUCACAGAUCAUGGAAUUGUGUAUAGGCACGGUUAACAACGGCACAAGUGACAAGACGGCGGACCAAAUCAAGGCGACAAUGGAAGCGGCUUACCGUGUAUUAUAUAGGCAUGCACCUUUACCUCGCAAUAUAUUUGGUCCCAUGUUCCCGAUGUCUUACCUCCAUGUCGCAGUGAGCUCGAGGGUUUUGCACAUACUCUCUAAGGUAUUAACAUAAAAUAAAUUUAUGUUCUGUAUAAAUCUGGGUUAUAAUAUCAUUGUCGGCUAUAUAUGAUAUAGGUACCGGAGAAAGUAGUAGAGAAUGGGUGGAACAAAAGGAAGGCGUGGAUAGAAGGAUCUGAUCGACAAGUGUUGAUGGG